AAGGUCACCUGGCAGGGGUGAAACCAUGAUCACGGAGGUUUACCCAAGGGGAGGCUUAUCCAUUCCAUUCCGGAUGUGCUGACCCCUGCGGUUUCCCCAAAUGUGGGAAACUCGACAGCACAAUUUGUGGUAGUGGGGGACUGUGUUCAUGCCCUGA
This is a small nuclear RNA of Molossus molossus (Pallas's mastiff bat), 157 nucleotides long. RefSeq annotates it as U1 spliceosomal RNA. NCBI's taxonomy places the organism in Eukaryota, Metazoa, Chordata, Mammalia, Chiroptera, Molossidae. The transcript has a single exon. The record is from RefSeq and is a predicted model, not a curated record.